Molecule: ribosomal RNA, 440 nt
Filed under: uncultured bacterium
Lineage: Bacteria
Description: partial 16S ribosomal RNA
Rfam family: Bacterial small subunit ribosomal RNA
Source: RNAcentral
CCUACGGGGGGCUGCAGUGGGGAAUAUUGCACAAUGGGGGAAACCCUGAUGCAGCGACGCCGCGUGAGUGAAGAAGUAAUUCGUUAUGUAAAGCUCUAUCAGCAGGGAAGAAAAUGACGGUACCUGAGUACGAAGCCCCGGCUAACUACGUGCCAGCAGCCGCGGUAAUACGUAGGGGGCAAGCGUUAUCCGGAUUUACUGGGUGUAAAGGGAGCGUAGACGGCAGUGCAAGUCUGGAGUGAAAGGCGGGGACUCAACCCCCGGACUGCUCUGGAAACUGUACGGCUAGAGUGCAGGAGAGGUAAGUGGAAUGCCUAGUGUAGCGGAGAAAUGCGUAGAUAUUAGGAGGAACACCAGUGGCGAAGGCGGCUUACUGGACUGUAACUGACGUUGAGGCUCGAAAGCGUGGGGAGCAAACAGGAUUAGAUACCCCGGUAGUC